Molecule: ribosomal RNA, 489 nt
Filed under: uncultured bacterium
Lineage: Bacteria
Description: partial 16S ribosomal RNA
Rfam family: Bacterial small subunit ribosomal RNA
Source: RNAcentral
UUGAACGCUGGCGGCAGGCCUAACCCAUGCAAGUCGAACGGUAACAGGAAGCAGCUUGCUGCUUUGCUGACGAGUGGCGGACGGGUGAGUAAUGUCUGGGAAACUGCCCGAUGGAGGGGGAUAACUACUGGAAACGGUAGCUAAUACCGCAUAACGUCGCAAGACCAAAGAGGGGGACCUUAGGGCCUCUUGCCAUCGGAUGUGCCCAGAUGGGAUUAGCUAGUAGGUGGGGUAACGGCUCACCUAGGCGACGAUCCCUAGCUGGUCUGAGAGGAUGACCAGCCACACUGGAACUGAGACACGGUCCAGACUCCUACGGGAGGCAGCAGUGGGGAAUAUUGCACAAUGGGCGCAAGCCUGAUGCAGCCAUGCCGCGUGUAUGAAGAAGGCCUUCGGGUUGUAAAGUACUUUCAGCGGGGAGGAAGGGAGUAAAGUUAAUACCUUUGCUCAUUGACGUUACCCGCAGAAGAAGCACCGGCUAACUCCGUG